AUAGUAGCGUCGUGUAUAGGAGAGAAACUCGUAAAAAUUUUCAUCUUCGAAGCUACGCCAGCGACAUCUAUAGAUUGCGCCAAUCAAGAAAAGAGCGCGUAAUUUAAAUUUGAAAAGGGUGCCAGCCCCAUAACCAGGGUUAUGUGAUCCAAUUUGGAAUUUCGAUUAAUGUUGGAAGUGAAACGAAUGCGUUUAGAUGAUUAACAUCCUAAUUUAAUGUAUAUCGAACAUUAUGUAAAUAUUAAACUAUUAAUAACAAUGUAAAGAAGAGAAAAACAAAAGGUAAAAAAUUUGUUGUUUAAAUUUUGGUCAAUAAUUGUUCUAGGUAUAUAGUUUUGUUUUUGCAAUAAAUAGAUCAGAAAGUCAUAAAAUUGGAGGGAAUUUUGUCGAUAGAGAUUUUUAUUGUUAAAAUUGUAUAAUAUUGGAAAUAUUUUCUAUAUUAAGAGAUAUUAAAUAAGCAAGUUUUAUCUACA
Bombus impatiens (common eastern bumble bee) is the source of this 473-nucleotide long non-coding RNA. RefSeq lists it as uncharacterized. The record is from RefSeq and is a predicted model, not a curated record. The transcript has 2 exons. Lineage: Eukaryota; Metazoa; Arthropoda; Insecta; Hymenoptera; Apidae.